Molecule: transfer RNA, 73 nt
Filed under: Ixodes scapularis (black-legged tick)
Lineage: Eukaryota; Metazoa; Arthropoda; Arachnida; Ixodida; Ixodidae
Description: tRNA-Ser for anticodon GGA
Rfam family: tRNA
About the family: Transfer RNA (tRNA) molecules are approximately 80 nucleotides in length. Their secondary structure includes four short double-helical elements and three loops (D, anti-codon, and T loops).
Source: RNAcentral
CCCUGAUUAGCUCAGGUUGUAGAGCGCCCGACUGGAAAUGGAGAGGUCCCGGGUUCAAUACCCGGACCAAGCG